UAAUGUCUGGGAAACUGCCUGAUGAGGGGGAGUAACUACUGGAAACGGUAGCUAAUACCGCAUAAUGUCGCAAGACCAAAUGGGGGACCUUCGGGCCUCAUGCCAUCAGAUGUGCCCAGAUGGGAUUAGCUAGUAGGUGGGGUAACGGCUCACCUAGGCGACGAUCCCUAGCUGGUCUGAGAGGAUGACCAGCCACACUGGAACUGAGACGCGGUCCAG
This 219-nucleotide ribosomal RNA is filed under the name uncultured bacterium. Its description in RNAcentral is "partial 16S ribosomal RNA". It matches the Rfam family "Bacterial small subunit ribosomal RNA", at positions 111 to 334 of the family's 1533-position model. The record is from RNAcentral.